CAACCCUCGCAGCCCCUCUGGGCAGCGGUGUUGGGGACCGGCACCACCUCCGCGCCUCCGGGCACGCAGGCGCCGCCCCCGAAAUCCAGUGGCGGCCUCGCUGCAGCCUCCCUUGCGUAGUAGCACACCUCGCACCGGAGCGCAGCGCGGCCACGCCGUAAAACCCCCGACUCUCUGA
Molecule: unclassified non-coding RNA, 178 nt
Filed under: uncultured Hypocreales
Lineage: Eukaryota; Fungi; Ascomycota; Sordariomycetes; Hypocreales
Description: sequence contains ITS2
Source: RNAcentral